This 1140-nucleotide ribosomal RNA is filed under the name Klebsiella pneumoniae. Its description in RNAcentral is "bacterial SSU rRNA". It matches the Rfam family "Bacterial small subunit ribosomal RNA", at positions 1 to 1133 of the family's 1533-position model. The record is from RNAcentral. Lineage: Bacteria; Pseudomonadati; Pseudomonadota; Gammaproteobacteria; Enterobacterales; Enterobacteriaceae.
ACUUAAAUUGAAGAGUUUGAUCAUGGCUCAGAUUGAACGCUGGCGGCAGGCCUAACACAUGCAAGUCGAGCGGUAGCACAGAGAGCUUGCUCUCGGGUGACGAGCGGCGGACGGGUGAGUAAUGUCUGGGAAACUGCCUGAUGGAGGGGGAUAACUACUGGAAACGGUAGCUAAUACCGCAUAACGUCGCAAGACCAAAGUGGGGGACCUUCGGGCCUCAUGCCAUCAGAUGUGCCCAGAUGGGAUUAGCUAGUAGGUGGGGUAACGGCUCACCUAGGCGACGAUCCCUAGCUGGUCUGAGAGGAUGACCAGCCACACUGGAACUGAGACACGGUCCAGACUCCUACGGGAGGCAGCAGUGGGGAAUAUUGCACAAUGGGCGCAAGCCUGAUGCAGCCAUGCCGCGUGUGUGAAGAAGGCCUUCGGGUUGUAAAGCACUUUCAGCGGGGAGGAAGGCGGUGAGGUUAAUAACCUCAUCGAUUGACGUUACCCGCAGAAGAAGCACCGGCUAACUCCGUGCCAGCAGCCGCGGUAAUACGGAGGGUGCAAGCGUUAAUCGGAAUUACUGGGCGUAAAGCGCACGCAGGCGGUCUGUCAAGUCGGAUGUGAAAUCCCCGGGCUCAACCUGGGAACUGCAUUCGAAACUGGCAGGCUAGAGUCUUGUAGAGGGGGGUAGAAUUCCAGGUGUAGCGGUGAAAUGCGUAGAGAUCUGGAGGAAUACCGGUGGCGAAGGCGGCCCCCUGGACAAAGACUGACGCUCAGGUGCGAAAGCGUGGGGAGCAAACAGGAUUAGAUACCCUGGUAGUCCACGCCGUAAACGAUGUCGAUUUGGAGGUUGUGCCCUUGAGGCGUGGCUUCCGGAGCUAACGCGUUAAAUCGACCGCCUGGGGAGUACGGCCGCAAGGUUAAAACUCAAAUGAAUUGACGGGGGCCCGCACAAGCGGUGGAGCAUGUGGUUUAAUUCGAUGCAACGCGAAGAACCUUACCUGGUCUUGACAUCCACAGAACUUUCCAGAGAUGGAUUGGUGCCUUCGGGAACUGUGAGACAGGUGCUGCAUGGCUGUCGUCAGCUCGUGUUGUGAAAUGUUGGGUUAAGUCCCGCAACGAGCGCAACCCUUAUCCUUUGUUGCCAGCGGUCCG